AAUGGACGAAAGUCUGAUGCAGCGACGCCGCGUGAGGGAUGAAGGCCUUCGGGUUGUAAACCUUUUUCGCUCCUGACCAAGGCCAGUUUGUGUGCUGGUUGAGGGUAGGGGGUAAAGAAGCUCCGGCUAACUACGUGCCAGCAGCCGCGGUAAUACGUAGGGAGCGAGCGUUGUCCGGAUUUAUUGGGCGUAAAGGGCUUGUAGGUGGCGUGUCGCGUCUGUCGUGAAAGGCUCCGGCUUAACUGGGGUAGUGCGGUGGGUACGGGCAUGCUUGAGUGUGGUAGGGGAGAUUGGAAUUCCUGGUGUAGCGGUGGAAUGCGCAGAUAUCAGGAGGAACACCGGUGGCGAAGGCGGAUCUCUGGGCCAUUACUGACGCUGAGGAGCGAAAGCGUGGGGAGCGAA
This 402-nucleotide ribosomal RNA is filed under the name uncultured bacterium. RNAcentral describes it as "bacterial SSU rRNA". It matches the Rfam family "Bacterial small subunit ribosomal RNA", at positions 370 to 772 of the family's 1533-position model. The record is from RNAcentral.